CCUACGGGAGGCAGCAGCUAGGAAUCUUGUGCAAUGGGGGAAACCCUGACACAGCUACGCCGCGUGGGUGAGGAAGGCCUUCGGGUUGUAAAGCCCUUUUAGUUGGGAAGAAUAAAAUGACGGUACCAACAGAAGAAGCACCGGCUAACUCCGUGCCAGCAGCCGCGGUAAUACGGAGGGUGCAAGCGUUAUUCGGAUUUAUUGGGCGUAAAGCGCACGUAGGCGGUUUAGUAAGUCUGAUGUGAAAUCCCGUGACUCAAUCACGGAAGUGCAUUGGAUACUGCUAGACUAGAGUACUGGAGGGGAGAACGGAAUUCCUGGUGUAGAGGUGAAAUUCGUAGAUAUCAGGAGGAACAACGGUGGCGAAGGCGGUUCUCUGGACAGUAACUGACGCUCAGGUGCGAAAGCGUGGGUAGCAAACAGGAUUAGAUACCCGGGUA
Molecule: ribosomal RNA, 440 nt
Filed under: uncultured bacterium
Lineage: Bacteria
Description: bacterial SSU rRNA
Rfam family: Bacterial small subunit ribosomal RNA
Source: RNAcentral